This 85-nucleotide transfer RNA is filed under the name Luteimicrobium album. RNAcentral's name for it is "tRNA-Leu". It matches the Rfam family "tRNA". Rfam says of the family: Transfer RNA (tRNA) molecules are approximately 80 nucleotides in length. Their secondary structure includes four short double-helical elements and three loops (D, anti-codon, and T loops). RNAcentral also lists the same sequence under 1 other name. Lineage: Bacteria; Bacillati; Actinomycetota; Actinomycetes; Micrococcales. The record is from RNAcentral.
GCGCGAGUGGCGUAAUCAGGCAGCCGCGCCGGAUUUAGGUUCCGGUGCCUUCGGGCGUGCGGGUUCGAAUCCCGCCUCGCGCACC